AAAAAUUUGCCAACAUGUGGGUUAAAAUACUAUUACACAUAUAAAUAGAAAUUCACUUAGAAUAGAAUAAACUUUUAGAAAUAAGGAGGACUCUAGGGAAUCUAAUCACAAACUGUUACUUCACUAAUGAUGAAGAUAUGACUCAGGAAGUCAAGAGAAUGUCUCAAGAUAAUAUAGAGAGGAAAUAUAAUUCCUUGGAUAGAUUGAGAGCUUAGAAGCUAGACCAUCUGAAUUUGAAUAUCUUCUCUAUCAUCAGCAAGUUAUUAAAAAACCUUUGUGCCUUAGUUUUCUUAAUAUAAUGGACAUUACAGUAGUACCUACCUCACAAGAUUAUGAGGUAGGUAAUACAUAUGUUUAUCACAAUUUCUUGCAAGCAUUCUAUCAGUUAUAGUGAUUGUAAUUAUUUGUUUUUGUAUAGUUCGUGGUAAUGAAGCUUAGAACUCAGCUCUUUUGACUACAUAUUCAGUUCUCUUUCAAAUAUAUUAUUUGUGCAUUCAUUUAGCUCUCUGUAUAACCUUCAUCAAAUUCAUAUUGUGGAUCAGGAAUUGGGUAUGAUUCCAAUAUUUGAACUCAUUCAGACUUUUCCAGGAGUAAUAUCAUAUUUUUAAAAUUUAUUCCUGUCAUUCAGAUUGUAAAAUGGCAGAAAAUAAACAGUAAAAUUCAUGUGUGUACAUGUUUUUGUAGUUUAUCCAGUUUAC
This 698-nucleotide long non-coding RNA is filed under the name Marmota monax (woodchuck). The record is from RNAcentral. Lineage: Eukaryota; Metazoa; Chordata; Mammalia; Rodentia; Sciuridae.